Molecule: long non-coding RNA, 285 nt
Filed under: Gossypium raimondii (Peruvian cotton)
Lineage: Eukaryota; Viridiplantae; Streptophyta; Magnoliopsida; Malvales; Malvaceae
Description: long non-coding RNA (GRAI_LNC005204)
Source: RNAcentral
AAAAAUUUGUCAACUCCGAUUGAAUAUAUAUAUAUAAACUAGAUGGACCUACGUAUAAUUGAUGUUAAAGUACUGUGUUGCCGCCUGUAUGAUCGAUACCUUUUUCUUUUUUUUUUUUUCAAGAUUCCUCCCCAUGGGUUUCACAAUUUCAAUGCGGGGCCAACCCAUGCCCUCUACAGCUAAUGAUUUGGAAUCAUUUUGCAUUUAAAUUUUCUGGAAAACAAAAAUCUCCAUGACGGAUUUUCUGCUAAUUCCCUAUUUUAAUAACCAAAUUGUUCCCAAUUG